This 207-nucleotide ribosomal RNA is filed under the name uncultured bacterium. Its description in RNAcentral is "partial 16S ribosomal RNA". It matches the Rfam family "Bacterial small subunit ribosomal RNA", at positions 568 to 774 of the family's 1533-position model. The record is from RNAcentral.
CGCGUAGGCGGCUUUGUCAGUCGGAUGUGAAAGCCCCGGGCUUAACCUGGGAAUUGCAUUCGAAACUGCAGAGCUAGAGUAUGGUAGAGGGAAGUGGAAUUCCGGGUGUAGCGGUGAAAUGCGUAGAUAUCCGGAGGAACACCAGUGGCGAAGGCGACUUCCUGGGCCAAUACUGACGCUGAGGUGCGAAAGCGUGGGGAGCAAACA